This 468-nucleotide ribosomal RNA is filed under the name uncultured bacterium. RNAcentral describes it as "partial 16S ribosomal RNA". It matches the Rfam family "Bacterial small subunit ribosomal RNA", at positions 28 to 507 of the family's 1533-position model. The record is from RNAcentral.
GACGAACGCUGGCGGCGUGCUUAACACAUGCAAGUCGAACGGAAAGGCUCUGCUUUUGCGGGGUGCUCGAGUGGCGAACGGGUGAGUAACACGUGAGUAACCUGCCCUUGACUUUGGGAUAACUUCAGGAAACUGGGGCUAAUACCGGAUAGGAGCUCCUGCUGUUAGGUGGGGGUUGGAAAGUUUCGGCGGUUGGGGAUGGACUCGCGGCUUAUCAGCUUGUCGGUGGGGUAGUGGCUUACCAAGGUUUUGACGGGUAGCCGGCCUGAGAGGGUGACCGGCCACAUUGGGACUGGGAUGCGGCCCAGACGCCUACGGGGGGCAGCAGUGGGAAAUAUUGCACGAUGGGCGGAAGCCUGAUGCAGCAACGCCGCGUGCGAGAUGACGGCCUUCAGGUUGUAAACCGCUUUCGCCUGUGACGAAGCGUGAGUGACGGUAAUGGGUAAAGAAGCACCGGCUAACUACGUG